CCGCCAAUAGGCGGCCAAAGUCCGCUUUCACACUGGCCGCGUUGCCCAGCCUGAAAGCAGGGCGCCGGGCAUGGGUGUUGACGCUCCGGCCCCGCGCAGCAGAAAACCGUGAACCGUGUCAGGGUCGGAAGGCAGCAGCACUAAGCGGUAUUUUCUGGGUGCCGCGGGCAAACCGGGGUCGAGCCUGUUGUCCGCCGUCCUGUUUUCCGGCAGGGGCGCGG
This 221-nucleotide signal recognition particle RNA is filed under the name Candidatus Avidehalobacter gallistercoris. Its description in RNAcentral is "signal recognition particle sRNA large type". It matches the Rfam family "Bacterial large signal recognition particle RNA". Rfam says of the family: The signal recognition particle (SRP) is a universally conserved ribonucleoprotein involved in the co-translational targeting of proteins to membranes. Archaeal SRP consists of a 7S RNA and homologues of the eukaryotic SRP19 and SRP54 proteins. The record is from RNAcentral. Lineage: Bacteria; Bacillati; Bacillota; Clostridia; Eubacteriales; Peptococcaceae.